GGACUACAGGGGUAUCUAAUCCUGUUUGCUCCCUUGGCUUUCGUGCCUCAGUGUCAGGUAUCGUCCAGGGACUCGCCUUCGCCACUGGUGUUCCUCUUGAUAUCUACGCAUUUCACUGCUACACCAAGAAUUCCAGUCCCCCCUCCGAUCCUCCAGACCAUCAGUAUUCAAUGCCAUUCCCGGGUUAAGCCCGGGGCUUUCACAUCAAACUUGACAGCCCACCUGCGCACCCUUUACGCCCAGUGAAUCCGAACAACGCUUGGGACCUCUGUAUUACCGCGGCUGCUGGCAC
This 292-nucleotide ribosomal RNA is filed under the name uncultured Verrucomicrobiota bacterium. Its description in RNAcentral is "uncultured Verrucomicrobia bacterium partial 16S ribosomal RNA". The record is from RNAcentral. Lineage: Bacteria; Pseudomonadati; Verrucomicrobiota.